UGCAAGUCGAGCGGAGAGAGGUAGCUUGCUACUGAUCUUAGCGGCGGACGGGUGAGUAAUGCUUAGGAAUCUGCCUAUUAGUGGGGGACAACAUUUCGAAAGGAAUGCUAAUACCGCAUACGUCCUACGGGAGAAAGCAGGGGAUCUUCGGACCUUGCGCUAAUAGAUGAGCCUAAGUCGGAUUAGCUAGUUGGUGGGGUAAAGGCCUACCAAGGCGACGAUCUGUAGCGGGUCUGAGAGGAUGAUCCGCCACACUGGGACUGAGACACGGCCCAGACUCCUACGGGAGGCAGCAGUGGGGAAUAUUGGACAAUGGGCGGAAGCCUGAUCCAGCCAUGCCGCGUGUGUGAAGAAGGCCUUAUGGUUGUAAAGCACUUUAAGCGAGGAGGAGGCUACUUUAGUUAAUACCUAGAGAUAGUGGACGUUACUCGCAGAAUAAGCACCGGCUAACUCUGUGCCAGCAGCCGCGGUAAUACAGAGGGUGCAAGCGUUAAUCGGAUUUACUGGGCGUAAAGCGCGCGUAGGCGGCUAAUUAAGUCAAAUGUGAAAUCCCCGAGCUUAACUUGGGAAUUGCAUUCGAUACUGGUUAGCUAGAGUGUGGGAGAGGAUGGUAGAAUUCCAGGUGUAGCGGUGAAAUGCGUAGAGAUCUGGAGGAAUACCGAUGGCGAAGGCAGCCAUCUGGCCUAACACUGACGCUGAGGUGCGAAAGCAUGGGGAGCAAACAGGAUUAGAUACCCU
RNAcentral lists this ribosomal RNA (738 nucleotides) under uncultured Acinetobacter sp. RNAcentral's name for it is "bacterial SSU rRNA". It matches the Rfam family "Bacterial small subunit ribosomal RNA", at positions 56 to 788 of the family's 1533-position model. Lineage: Bacteria; Pseudomonadati; Pseudomonadota; Gammaproteobacteria; Moraxellales; Moraxellaceae. The record is from RNAcentral.